GAUGAACGCUGGCGGCGUGCCUAAUACAUGCAAGUCGAGCGAACAGACGAGGAGCUUGCUCCUCUGACGUUAGCGGCGGACGGGUGAGUAACACGUGGAUAACCUACCUAUAAGACUGGGAUAACUUCGGGAAACCGGAGCUAAUACCGGAUAAUAUAUUGAACCGCAUGGUUCAAUAGUGAAAGACGGUUUUGCUGUCACUUAUAGAUGGAUCCGCGCCGCAUUAGCUAGUUGGUAAGGUAACGGCUUACCAAGGCGACGAUGCGUAGCCGACCUGAGAGGGUGAUCGGCCACACUGGAACUGAGACACGGUCCAGACUCCUACGGGAGGCAGCAGUAGGGAAUCUUCCGCAAUGGGCGAAAGCCUGACGGAGCAACGCCGCGUGAGUGAGGAAGGUCUUCGGAUCGUAAAACUCUGUUAUUAGGGAAGAACAAAUGUGUAAGUAACUAUGCACGUCUUGACGGUACCUAAUCAGAAAGCCACGGCGAACUACGU
This 496-nucleotide ribosomal RNA is filed under the name uncultured bacterium. RNAcentral describes it as "partial 16S ribosomal RNA". It matches the Rfam family "Bacterial small subunit ribosomal RNA", at positions 28 to 506 of the family's 1533-position model. The record is from RNAcentral.